UACGAAGGGGGCUAGCGUUGCUCGGAAUCACUGGGCGUAAAGCGCACGUAGGCGGCUUUCUAAGUCAGGGGUGAAAUCCUGGAGCUCAACUCCAGAACUGCCUUUGAUACUGGGGAGCUCGAGUCCGGAAGAGGUGAGCGGAACUCCGAGUGUAGAGGUGAAAUUCGUAGAUAUUCGGAAGAACACCAGUGGCGAAGGCGGCUCACUGGUCCGGUACUGACGCUGAGGUGCGAAAGCGUGGGGAGCAAACAGG
This 253-nucleotide ribosomal RNA is filed under the name uncultured bacterium. RNAcentral's name for it is "partial 16S ribosomal RNA". It matches the Rfam family "Bacterial small subunit ribosomal RNA", at positions 524 to 776 of the family's 1533-position model. The record is from RNAcentral.